This 389-nucleotide ribosomal RNA is filed under the name Serratia symbiotica. RNAcentral's name for it is "bacterial SSU rRNA". It matches the Rfam family "Bacterial small subunit ribosomal RNA", at positions 75 to 464 of the family's 1533-position model. Lineage: Bacteria; Pseudomonadati; Pseudomonadota; Gammaproteobacteria; Enterobacterales; Yersiniaceae. The record is from RNAcentral.
AGAGCUUGCUCUCUGGGUGACGAGCGGCGGACGGGUGAGUAAUGUCUGGGAAACUGCCUGAUGGCGGGGGAUAACUAGUGGAAACGGUAGCUAAUACCGCAUAACGUCGCAAGACCAAAGUGGGGGACCUUCGGGCCUCACGCCAUCAGAUGUGCCCAGGUGGGAUUAGCUGGUAGGUGGGGUAACGGCUCACCUAGGCGACGAUCCCUAGCUGGUCUGAGAGGAUGACCAGCCACACUGGAACUGAGACACGGUCCAGACUCCUACGGGAGGCAGCAGUGGGGAAUAUUGCACAAUGGGCGCAAGCCUGAUGCAGCCAUGCCGCGUGUGUGAAGAAGGCCUUCGGGUUGUAAAGCACUUUCAGCGAGGAGGAAGGGUAAUGUGUUAAA